Long non-coding RNA from Triticum dicoccoides, 1174 nucleotides. RefSeq lists it as uncharacterized. The record is from RefSeq and is a predicted model, not a curated record. The transcript is spliced from 4 exons. NCBI's taxonomy places the organism in Eukaryota, Viridiplantae, Streptophyta, Magnoliopsida, Poales, Poaceae.
UUCCCGAUUCCCCUUAUCUCUCCCACCUCGCCCUUUAUCCCUCCCACCUCGCCGCCACCCACCGCCUCCUCUUCCUUCUCCUACCCACCUCGCCACCGGCCCUCCCCCUCCUCUUCACCCACGCAGCUCCAGAGGCUGCAGUAUCCGCAGCAUCUCCUACCCGCCCAUCCCUCUCGCCUCCCAUUUCUCUCUUCACGCUGCUCCUCGCUGCGCCACCGGCGACGGCUGAUUCAGGCGACGCUCGGCGAAUCCAGCCACCGCGAAGAACAACCCGAGCUCUUCUCGCACCGCGGCGUCCUCCCAUCCGACUAGAUCCGGCGCUGGAAGCCACCAAAGCCCAUCCGCGACCCCCCCCCAUGGCUAGGGUUUCGAGCAUAGGCGACGGCGCCGGUUGCCAUGUCGUCCUCCUCUCGUCCAUUGAGUGCACCCCUCCCUUGGCUUCAUCAUCUGUCUCCCCCUGUCUAUAACAUCUUCUCUUCUCAUGUAGAUGUGGAGGGAGGAACGGCCAGUGGACAACCUUGCUGCUGCUCGGGAUGAAGGAGACAUGGAGCCAGUGCAGGUUGAUGCAGAGCUAUGAGGCUUGGUCGCUUCGAUGCGGUCCUGGAGGCAUAAAACGCACAUGAUGUUCACAAGCAUGGUGGCAGUAAGGUGCAGAUGGAUCUAACUAAUGCUACCAAAUUGCGUGUAGAUCUGUUGACCGGUUCCUAAUGAACUCCAAAAUAGAGAAGCGCCAUGAUGUACCAUGGCUUGAGGAGAUGCAUAUGUCGGCAUUUUUUUGUGUAUUGCUGGGACAUGGUUUGCAUCACUACAUUCUAAGAUUCAAAAGAUAUAUGGAUGAUUAUAUGGGUGCGUGGCAAGUAUACUGCAAUGAUGAUGAUGUUCCAGUUCAUGAUGAUGAUGACGAUGGAUGCUUUUGGUUUUGUUAAGUACUAGGGACAUUGUUGAUGUUGCUAGAUGAUGUUCCUCAGUUAUGAUUUAGUUUAGUUGUAGGGAUGCUGAUGGAUUCUUCCAGUUAAAAGUUGUAGGGAUGCUGAUGGAUUCUUCCAGUUAAAGUUUCACUUCGCUGUGAAGAAAAUAUUUAGAUUAUGCAACAUAUUUGGAUGAUGUUCCUCAUGUAAUAUACACUACUGUAAUCCAAAAGUUUUAUCCAAUAAAUGAUUUCUUCCCCUCCUAA